RNAcentral lists this ribosomal RNA (253 nucleotides) under uncultured bacterium. RNAcentral's name for it is "partial 16S ribosomal RNA". It matches the Rfam family "Bacterial small subunit ribosomal RNA", at positions 524 to 776 of the family's 1533-position model. The record is from RNAcentral.
UACGAACCGUCCAAACGUUACUCGGAUUUACUGGGCGUAAAGCGCACGUAGUCGGCUUUGCAAGUCGGGUGUGAAAUCCCCGGGCUCAACCUGGGAACUGCAUCCGAGACUGCAUUGCUAGAGUAUGGGAGAGGGAAGCGGAAUUUCUGGUGUAGCAGUGAAAUGCGUAGAUAUCAGAAGGAACAUCAGUGGCGAAGGCGGCUUCCUGGACCAAUACUGACGAUCAGGUGCGAAAGCGUGGGGAGCAAACAGG